AAUUUUUUUCUUAAUCCCAAUCUCUCUACAGAACCCGAUCUUGAUAUUGAGUCAUUCUAUAUCUCUAUAGAAGAGUUUAUGUUAGAACUAGUAACACAGAAUACUCUCUCUCUCUCUAUGUAAGUGUAAAUCAGAUUGAAUAACUCACUGAUACUUAAUCAGUUUUGAAAAUAAUGCAGUAACAUCACCAGAAAACCCUGCAACUUAACUCCCUGUUAAACUAACACCAGAACAUAUAGAAAAGAUUUAAAGACAAGGAAGGAACUCGGCAAAUAAAAGUCCCGCCUGUUUACCAAAAACAUCGCCUCUUGAACCCAAUAAGAGGUAAUGCCUGCCCAGUGACCAUGUGUUCAACGGCCGCAGUAUUCUGACCGCGCGAAGGUAGCGUAAUCACUUGUCUUUUAAAUAAAGACUAGUAUGAAUGGCCACACGAGGACUUAACUGUCUCCCCUGUCUAAUCAGUGAAACUGAUCUCCUCGUGCAAAAGCGAGAAUAUUAACAUAAGACGAGAAGACCCUAUGAAGCUUUAAACUAAAUAUCAAAUUCUUUAACUCUACUUCUAAGGAAUUAAUACCUAAUUAAUCUUACUUGAUAUCAGUUUUAGGUUGGGGUGACCAUGGAGAAAAAAAAAUCCUCCCUGAUGACUUUCUAACCAAGAGCCACAACUCUAAGUACUAAGACACUUAACUCUAAUUGACCCACUUUGUGAUCAACGAACCAAGUUACUCUAGGGAUAACAGCGCAAUCCAUUUCAAGAGUUCCUAUCGACAAAUGGGUUUACGACCUCGAUGUUGGAUCAGGGCAUCCAAGUGGUGCAACCGCUACUAAAGGUUCGUU
RNAcentral lists this ribosomal RNA (837 nucleotides) under Leptobrachium hendricksoni (spotted litter frog). RNAcentral's name for it is "partial 16S ribosomal RNA". It matches the Rfam family "Bacterial large subunit ribosomal RNA", at positions 1216 to 2577 of the family's 2925-position model. RNAcentral also lists the same sequence under 1 other name. Lineage: Eukaryota; Metazoa; Chordata; Amphibia; Anura; Megophryidae. The record is from RNAcentral.